AUCUACUGACAAGGUAAUUCUCACGAGUUUUGGCGGGGCGCCACUCUUGGAAGUUACAUGGCCGGUAGGAACUCGCUACAUCUAUGCUGUAUAGCUAUGCUAGGUGAACGAUUUGCCUAUUACAAGUUCGUUUGCCAACAAAUUGGCAUUGUUAAGGUGAAAAUCUUGCAUAGUGUGCCUUUAAUGUUAAUGUGUGUGUGUGUCAGGCUGAGUGGUUGUUUCCUCACAGAGAAGAGCUGUGCAGCUUUAUCUUCAGCUCUCAGAUCAAACUCCUCCAGUCUGAGACAGCUGAACCUGAGUAACAAUAAUCUGGGAGAUGCAGGAGUGGAGCUGCUUUAUACUGGUCUGGAGCAUCCAAACUGUAGACUGGAAACACUGGGCCUGUGAGGUUGUAACCUCACAGAGAAGAGUUGUGCAGCUUUAUCUUCAGCUCUCAGAUCAAACUCUUCCAGUCUGAGACAGCUGAACCUGAAUUAAAAUAAUGUGGGAGACUCAGGUGUGGAGCUGCUUUCUACUGGUCUGGAGCAUCCAAACUUUAGACUGGAGACACUGGAGCUGCGGUACUGUGAGCUCACAGAGAGGAGCUGUUCAUCUCUAGCUGCAGCUCUCAGAUCAAACCCCUCCAGUCUGAGAGAGCUGGACCUGAGAGGAAACAGACUGCAGCAGUCUGGAGUGGAGCUGCUCUCUGCUCUACAGAGAGACCCUACAUAUUAACUGACUGAACUAGAGUAGUAAUGAAUACAGCACAUAUAAUCACAAUCCAAGUUAGUGUCAGUGUCAAGUCAGUGUUGAGGAAUCCUAAUGGAGAAACCUCAUACUAAGCAUGAUGGAAUCUGCCAAAUCUCCUCAACAGGUAUGACGUGUAGAGCAUCAAUCAUCCAUCAGUGUGACUGGAGCAGAGCUGCUGCAGAUGCUCCAGUUUCCAGACACUCAGGACCAGAUGAUCCUCCAGCUGCCCCCACUCAUCAUAUGGGUCCACCUGCUACUGCUACACUUUAAAGGGGCAAUUUUGUAUUAUAAUAAAUAAUCAAUACCUAUGAUUAAACCAAUAUUUAAAAGUGAUAAAUUAAUGUCUGCUCUAAUUUAAUGU
Molecule: long non-coding RNA, 1090 nt
Organism: Alosa sapidissima (American shad)
Lineage: Eukaryota; Metazoa; Chordata; Actinopteri; Clupeiformes; Clupeidae
Exons: 3
Source: RefSeq, a predicted model, not a curated record